This 762-nucleotide ribosomal RNA is filed under the name uncultured archaeon. Its description in RNAcentral is "bacterial SSU rRNA". It matches the Rfam family "Archaeal small subunit ribosomal RNA", at positions 139 to 902 of the family's 1478-position model. The record is from RNAcentral.
ACUGGGGAUAAUUCCGGAUAGGCCACAGAUGCUGGAAUGCACUGUGGCUCAAAGCUCCGGCGCCGAAGGAUGGGUCUGCGGCCUAUCAGGGUUGUAGUGGGUGUAAUGUACCUACUAGCCUACGACGGGUACGGGUUGUGAGAGCAAGAGCCCGGAGAUGGAUUCUGAGACACGAAUCCAGGCCCUACGGGGUGCAGCAGGCGCGAAAACUUUACAAUGCGGGAGACCGUGAUAAGGGAAUCUCGAGUGCCAGCAUAUAAUGUUGGCUGUCCAGAUGCCUAAAAAGCAUCUGUUAGCAAGGGCCGGGCAAGACCGGUGCCAGCCGCCGCGGUAACACCGGCGGCCCGAGUGGUAACCGCUUUUAUUGGGUCUAAAGGGUCUGUAGCCGGCCAUGUAAGUCCCUUGGGAAAUCUGGCAGCUCAACUGUCAGGCUGCUAGGGGAUACUGCUUGGCUUGGGACCGGGAGAGGUGAGAGGUACCUUGAGGGUAGGGGUGAAAUCUUGUGAUCCUCGGGGGACACCAGUGGCGAAGGCGUCUCACCAGAACGGGUCCGACGGUAAGGGACGAAAGCUAGGGGCACGAACCGGAUUAGAUACCCGGGUAGUCCUAGCCGUAAACGAUGCUCGCUAGGUGUCAGUCACGGUGCGACCGUGAUUGGUGCCGUAGGGAAGCCGUGAAGCGAGCCACCUGGGAAGUACGGCCGCAAGGCUGAAACUUAAAGGAAUUGGCGGGGGAGCACUACAACGGGUGGAGCCUGCGGUU